GUGCGUGUGACUCCUUGGACAAACAGCACACAACGCAAAUGGACUUUAUUCCCUAUAGGCGGUGCGGCUUCUCAGUCCCCGUGUGUCCUUUAAUAGUUGCCGCUUUACAUAUAAAUGGUUCUGCUAUUCGGCAUGAACGGGUAGAGUAAACACUCGCUCACAGGUCUUUGGCAGCAGAACGAGGACUCUGGUGUUCAAGGACAUCCCCAAAUGCUCUUUAGACUCCUGCGCAGAUGAGAAAAGGCGAAAAUAAAAGAGGAAUGCAAGUCAAGUCUUUUGAGUUUGUACGAGAAUGUGAGAGCUACUUUUGUUUCUAAGACCAUCCAAAUAUUUUCUCCAGAGAAGGUGGGAGUCACUUUGAGAGGAGCCCCCCCCCCACCAACACAACACUGUUGGCUUAACACCGCCUGGAAUAGCUCCACCAAUUUAAACCUGUGUUUUUUUUGGCGUUUUUUUUGUGUCAGUAAAUCCAACAUGGCACGAAGCUUAAGAGAAAAUCAACGGCGCCUUGACGGGAAGGAGAAAUGGUAAUUUGAGACCAGUUUUCGGGGUCUUUUUCGGGGUCCUUUUCCACCCUGCUUUGAAGUACUAACGGUCCCUUCAAAUCAAAUCAAAGGCUCACACUGCCGUUGCAAGUUGUUUCUUUGGUGUUGAUGAAGCUUCUCCAUCCUGCAGGUAACCUUCAGUCAGCAGAUCCGCGCUCAGGGACACGGAAAUACGCUGAGAGGAACAGCUGUGCGGGCCUCCAAACAAGGAGCAGGCUGCCUGGCAACUGCGCUCCCAUUGGCCAACCUUCCACCUCCUCCGACCAAUUGCAGCAGCUCCACCACGAGGAAGCGAAUGGGGGAGAAAAACAAAGCAGAGGGGGAAACAGAAGGAAGAAAAUAAUGAGGACGGUGACGUAUUCAGCAGUGGAGAAGGGCUUCCAUGUGCAGGCCGGGAGCAGGUUUCCUGAAGAAACAACGAAAAUGGAGGCUUCAAUAAAUAAUUCACUCAAUCUCAAGGCCAAUUUCAAUCAUUCGAAACAGGCAUCCACCUUGCAUAAUGCAUAUGCUAUCUCCUACAAUUUGCACUGAAC
Long non-coding RNA from Gasterosteus aculeatus aculeatus (three-spined stickleback), 1078 nucleotides. The record is from Ensembl. Lineage: Eukaryota; Metazoa; Chordata; Actinopteri; Perciformes; Gasterosteidae.